Humulus lupulus (European hop) is the source of this 6955-nucleotide long non-coding RNA. RefSeq lists it as uncharacterized. The transcript has 6 exons. The record is from RefSeq and is a predicted model, not a curated record. Lineage: Eukaryota; Viridiplantae; Streptophyta; Magnoliopsida; Rosales; Cannabaceae.
UCUGACACAUCGCCCCUGACAAGAUUAAUUUUGGCACAUGUUAUAAUAUUAGGGGCAACACAUAUCACCCAUAAUAUUGUUAAAAUAACCUAACCUCUUCUCCAUUUCUGUCAAAUUCUCAGCUGCGCCUCUUCUCCUUCCCUCCUUUCUCUCUGAAAUUUUUCAGAGCUUCAAAUUCCCAGCCGCGCCCCUUGCUUCCCUCCUUCCCUCUUCCCCUCUUGGCUCUCUCUCCCUUAUGCUCGGACUCCCUCUUGGGUCUCUCUCCCAAACGGUCGACACCCUCUUGGAUCUCUCUCCAAACUGUCGGCGAUACCCUCUCGGCUCUCUCUCCAGAUGGUCGGCUCCUUCCCUCUGUCUCUCGGACGCAACACAGUACAAAGCAUGGACAAAUUGACACAAAGGCUUACUGAGCUCAACCAAAGCAUUUGAGGGGCAUUUGAGGUUUAAAUUGAAGGAGUAUCUCUUGAAAAUUCGGUCUUUGGGGUAUUUAUAAUUUUGUGGCAUCAAGAUAGACUUGGAAGUUUUCUUCUAGGGAAAUCAAUUGAGCCAACCGGCGUUGAAAAUCAGGUCGGAAAUAAUGACCAUGGUCAGAACUGUCCGACAAUCCCUGAGAACUAGCAACAGAUGCUUGCUGAUAUGCAAGCUAGGCUACAGAGGCAGGAAGAAGAAAUUCACCAGCUGAGGCAGCAGUAGGUUCCGACAAGGAACGCUACAUUAGUAGCACCAUUUGCUGUCGCAGUACCGACCAUACAGCGGCAGUCAGAGAUUGAGAAUCGUUGGGAACUAUUAUAUGAACAGUUCAGGAAACAACACCCUUCGAAUUUUAAGGGUAGCACGGAUCCACUCAAGGCUGAGUAGUAGAUGAGCAUGAUGCCAUCCAUCCUAGACUUUAUGAGGGUGGUGGGCAACGAGAGGUGGCUUGUGCCAUGUACAUGUUUAGGGAGGAUGCCCGAAUCUGGUGGGAGGUGGUGUCACAAACUAGGGACAUAUAUACAAUUAAGUGGGAAGAUUUCAAAGAUUUAUUUAAUGAAAAAUAUAUUAAUGAUGAAGUGAGAACUACGAAGGCAUAUGAAUUCAAUAGUUUGGUUCAGAGAAAUAUGUGAGUAAUAGAAUAUGCCCUGAUGUUUGAUAGACUAUCCAAGUUUGCUUUGGACUUGGUGCCUACUGAUGUAACCAGGAAUGAGAGAUUUCUUAGGGGGCUGAAUUCUAUGAUAGCCCAGGAUGUCAGAAUUACUACAGUGCUUGGAGUGACGAGAUACACUCAGGUAGUAGAGAUAGCCCUUACUACAGAGGGUGCUGAAGACAAGAUCUGUGCAAGAACGCGGCAAUAAGGGAUACUAGGAGGAUGGGACCUCCCUUUAUAGGUUCUUGUAGGGGUGGAGGCCUUAGCAACCAGAAAAGGAAGACCCCAUAUAUUGUUUCAGCUUCAGGCCCCGAUAUGAGGCCACGAGGUGUAUAGAUUGGCCACCAGGGCAGAAAUGAGGACUGGAGAACGUAUCUAGAGUGUGACAGAUGUAGAAGACGUCAUUUGGGAGAGUGUCGGGCGAAGGCCGGCUUUUUAUGUGGAAUAGUGGGGCAUCUCAAGCAAGACUGCCCAAGGAUGAAGACAGAGGAGCCGAAAAAGGUGGACUUCUUAACUUUAGCUCGAGUGUUCGUACUAACGCAGGCAGAGGCUACGGCUAGUUGCUCAGUGGUGACAGGUCAGGUUUCUAGUGCUGACACUUCUUAUAUUGUACUGAUUGAUUUUGGUGCUACACACUCCUUUGCUUCUAGUAAAGUAAUUGAUAGACUGUGUAGGUCAUGUGAUUAUUAUAUUGUUGGGUUUGGAACUGUAACACCCCAUGUCACUAUGGCUGCUUUCUGGAAUGAUGACUAGCCCUACAAUCUAACACGAGUCUUUCCAGCGUGCUUUGUCCUCACUCAAACACUUACUAGGAAAACUUCCUAGGAGGUCACCCAUCAUGAGACUACUCCAGGCCAAGCACACUUAACUUUGGAGUUCUCAAGUGAUGGGCUGCCUAAAAGAGGAUGCAUCUUGUUGGCAUAGGUAGAAUGAUGCAAACCAAGGAGCUGGACAUGCUGAUCAUACAUGUGGGAAUGGAGUUGGAUUUCCACUAGACCCUUUGUCACUUCCUAGUGGCCCAAUUACAAGACUUAGAGCCAAGCGUUUCAAGGAAGCACUAAAUGGGCUAAUCCAAGAGAUUUGGGUUGAUUCUAAAAAGACCAAGAUGGACUCAAAUAAUAAUCAAGGCUUAGUCCGUGUCAUCAAAGCAAGUGAAGAGGCUAAUUAACAUCCAAAAACGUAAUCAGCAUGGUUUAGUCAUUAAAGGGCAUGAUUUUGAUGAGUUUCGAGGAUAUUAAAUAGGGGAAUGCCAAUGGCCUUGGCUGGUUAUGUUAAUGCAUUGAAUUUAGUCAUUUAAGUUAUUUUUGGCUGCCUUUUGAAGACCAAAAUGCCUAAAGACGUGGGGAGUUAUUAUUUUUAUAUUUGUGUUGCUUUUAAGGCUGAAUUAUGACUUUUCCUAUUCUUGGAGGAUUGUUCCAAGUAUAUAUAAGGUUUUUAUGAACAUUGUAAGACAUUAUGUUUUGAGAAAUAUUAUUAUUAUUGUGAGGUGUGUUCCUCUUCGUUCUUGAAAGAACUCUUGAACUUAUCAAGUUAAUCUUGUGGCGUUCAAACAACCAAACUUAUCACCUUGAUCCUUGAGAUAUUCUUAGGUUUCCUGGUGUGGCAUUUUCUUUCCUUUGUAGCCUUGGUUUUCAUCUAAUUAGGUGAUGGGUCAAGGCUCAACAAAUCUUGUCUACACGAUCUUGGGGUUCCAAACCAUCAUUGUUAUCGGGUUUCAUCACAAUUGUUGGUGAGGUUCAUAUCAUUUGGAAUCAGAGCUUUGGUUCUAAGGCAAGUUUGACUAUCUUUUAUUUUCGUUUUCAUAUUCCCUACUGUACUUGAAAAAAAAAAGAACAACAGCAAAAAAAAAAAAAAAAAGAAAAAAUAAAGUACACGAUUCCAUUAAGAAAAAUUUAUUCCUUUCAAUCUUGUUUCUCACCAUAUUCAAGUUCUUGAUCUUUGACCUUUUGAUGAGUCCUUUUUCCCAUCUUGAUCUUUUGAUGAGUUUGGUUGCUUCUCCUUUUUGAAUGGUUGCUAGAUUGUUUUGGAUUAGUUUCUUGAAGCUCAAUUAAGAACUAAAGAAGACACGAAAGAGUGCAAAAAGGCAAGAGUGUGUGAGGCCAUAAGAGGAUAAAGGACAUUUAGAGUGAAAACACGAGUGCAAGGGUAUCAAUUGUUGAGUGAAACACGUGAGAGCGUGCUUGUGAGGAUUCUAACUUUGUUUUGCAGAUUCUAAACAUGUCCAAUAAUAAUAAAGAAGACACAGCCGGAGACUUUCGACAACCCACAGGUCCGAACCUCCAAAUGCAAACGUUGUUAGGGGAGAUGAGGCGUAUGAUGAGGGCUGAAUUGGAACCUAUUCAUAAGAGGUUGGAUAGGGUAGAAGCGAGAAAUCCUAGGGAACAACAAUAGGACAACCCAGUAGGCAACAAGGUGGGCGUGUUCCGUGGCAGAAUGUUGAGGAAGAGGCUGAGUCAGAGGAGUUUGAUGAGCCAUAUUUGAAUCGGGGCAGGUUUGAGCGUGGGUAUGGGAAUAGAGAAGCUAGGAUGGGUAGGCCUAGGAGGGAUAAUGAUUUAGGAAACAUAAAGAUUAAAAUCCCAUCUUUUCAAGGUAAAAAUGAUCCUUAAGCUUAUUUGGAGUGGGAAACUAAAAUGGAGAUGGUGUUUGAUUGUCAUAACUACUCGGAGAUAAAGAAGGUUAAGUUGGCAGCAAUUGAAUUCACCAAUUAUGCCAUUGUUUGGUGGGAUCAAUUACUGAUUAAUAGGAGGAGGAAUAGAGAGCCACCCGUGGACACUUGGGAGGAGAUGAAAAUUCUUAUGAGGAAGCGUUUUGUACCUAGCCACUAUUAUAGGGGAUUGUAUCAAAAGUUGCAGAGGUUAAAUCAAGGUUCCAAGAGUGUGGAUGAGUAUUACAAGGAGAUGGAGGGAGCUAUGAUCCAGGCUAAUGUAGAAGAGGACAGGGAAGCCACCAUGGCUAGGUUUUUGCACUGUUUAAAUCGAGAGAUUACGGAUAUAGUUGAGUUGCAGCACUAUGUUGAGCUGACGGAUAUGGUGCAUCAAGCCAUAAAGGUGGAGGAACAAUUCAAAUGGAAGGGAUUGGCAAGGAGGGGACAACCUAUGGCUACCACCAGUCUAUGGAAGACAACUCCAAAAAGGGACGAGCAGCUACAAAAUAUUCCAAAAUUUGAACCCUCUAAGAAUGUCAAGCCAACGACCGCCACUACUUUAGGUAACACUGAUUCUUCUAAUUCUAAAACACGUGAUAUUAAGUGUUUUUAAUGUCAGGGGCGGGGACACAUAACUAGCUAGUGUGUAAACAAAAGGGUGAUGGUGAUUAAUGCCCAAGGAGAGCUUAAGUCAGAGAAUGAGGAAGAAGUAGAUGAUGCUGCCAUGCCACCUUUGGAGGAUGCUGAUGAUGAGCAAAAUGCUGUGGUUGGAGAUUUAUUGGUAGCAAGGCAAGUUCUCAAUGUGCAUGUUAAGGAGGAAGAAAGUAACAAAAGGGAGAACUUAUUUCAUACUUGGUGCUUUGUAAAUAACAAAGUUUGCAGUGUCAUUAUCGAUGGAGGGAGUUGUACAAAUGUAGCCAACACUUAUUUGGUGGAGAAAUUGGCCUUAACCACUUUGAAACAUCCUCACCCUUACCGGCUUCAGUGGCUGAAUGAUUGUGGCGAAAUCAAGGUGACAAGGCAAGUGUUGGUGGCGUUAUCCAUUGGAAAAUAUGAGGAUGAGGUGCUUUGUGAUGUGGUUCCUAUGCAUGCAUGCCAUUUAUUGUUGGGAGGACCGUGGUAGUAUGAUUUGAGGGUUACGCAUGAUGGAUUCACGAAUAGGUAUUCUUUCCCUCUUAAAAGGCAACCUAUUACUCUUGUUCCAUUAACUCCAAAACAGGUCAUGGAGGAUCAACUAAAGUUACAAAGAUCAAAUGAAAAAAAAUAAAUAAAGGAAGGCUGAAAUAGAAAAAAGAAAAGAGUUUAAAAAUAAUGAAAGAGAGAAAAACAUUGAUCAGAGUGAAAAAGAAAGAGAGAGGAUUUCAGCCAUAGUGAGAGCAAGAGAGGAAAAAUUCAGUUAUAUUGCAAAAAAAAGUGAGAUCAAGAGAGCAUUAUUUUCACACCAGCCCCUUAUUGUACUCAUGUACAAGGAGGCUCUUUUAUGUACUAAUGAUCUCGUCGGUACUUUGCCGAGUGAUAUUGUUUCUCUUUUGCAGGAGUUUGAAGAUGUCCUUCUCGAAGAGGUACCUUAUAGCUUACCUCCAAUUCGAGGGAUUGAACAUCAAAUUGAUUUCAUACCUGGUGCAUCCAUUCCAAACCGACCUGCUUAUAGGAGCAAUCCCAAGGAGACCAAGGAGCUUCAGUGGCAAGUAGGUGAAUAAUUAGAGAAAGGAUAUGUUCGUGAAAGCAUGAGUCCUUGUGUUGUUCUGGUGCUAUUAGUUCCUAAGAAGGAUGGAACAUGGAGGAUGCGUGUUGACUGACGAGCCAUCAACAACAUAAUGGUAAAGUAUCGUCAUCCCAUUCCUAGAUUAGAUGAUAUGUUGGAUGAAUUGCAUGGUUCUUGUGUCUUUACAAAAAUUGAUCUUAAGAGUGGAUAUCAUCACAUUAAUAUGAAGGAAGGUGAUGAGUGGAAAACUGCUUUUAAGACUAAAUAUGGUUUGUAUGAGUGGUUAGUAAUGCCUUUCGGUUUAACUAAUGCUUCGAGCACAUUUAUGCGUUUGAUGAACCAUGUUUUGCAUGCAUUUAUUGGCAAAUUUGUAGUUGUGUAUUUUGAUGAUAUCCUAAUUUAUAGCAAAAACUUGGAAGAGCAUGUAAUGCAUUUGAAAUCUGUUUUGGAAAUUCUAAGAAAAGAAAGGUUGUUUGCAAACCUCAAGAAGUGCACCUUUUGCACAGAUAAGCUUGUAUUUCUUGCUUUUGUUGUUAGUAAGAACAGAAUUGAGGUGGACGAGGAAAAGGUGAAGGCAAUCCAAGAGUGGCCAACGCCUACAACAAUCAGCCAAGUGAGGAGUUUCCACGACUUAGCUAGCUUCUAAAGACGGUUUGUGCGUGAUUUUAGUAGCUUAGCCGCCCCUCUUACUGAAGUCAUCAAGAAAAAUGUGCAGUUUAAGUGGGGGAAAGAACAAGAAAAGGCAUUUAAUCUGAUCAAAGAAAAGUUAACUAAUGCACCUUUGCUUGUUUUACCUAACUUUGCUAAAACUUUUGAAAUUGAGUGUGAUGCUUCAGGAAUAGGUAUUGGAGUUGUUUUGAUGCAAGAAGGACGUCCAGUUGCUUAUUUCAGUGAAAAGUUGAGUGGGGCAGCCCUAAAUUAUCCCACUUAUGAUAAGGAGAUGUAGGCCUUGGUAAGGGUUUUGGAAAAUUGGCAGCACUAUCUAUGGCCAAAGGAAUUCGUGAUUCACACAGAUCAUGAAUCUUUGAAGCAUUUGAAAGGACAGCAAAGGUUGAACAAAUGCCAUGCCAAGUGGGUGGAAUUCAUUGAAACAUUUCCUUACGUGAUCAGAUACAAGCAAGGGUAAAGGUAAGGAGAAGCUUGGCUAGCCAUGAGUUGGAGAGCAUUAGGGGCGGUGUGUACAUAUGCAAUAUGCUUGACCGCCAUGGUCGAGAUAUUGCAGUGGAACUAGGCUUGGACCCUAUUUCGCCGCUUAGGUAAAGGCAAGGGCAAACUUGAUCAGCCCUGACUUGGAGAAAUCUGUGAGCUGAUUGCACAUGACCAACUGCUCAGCCGCCAUGGUUGAGGGGAAGGCAGGAACAAGGGAACCAGAAAUGUCUGUUUUGCCUUAGAAUGGCUGAUGGUUGUCUGUAUUUUGAAAUUCUGUAAACUGACUUUUAAACACUAUUUCUUUUUGGGAUCCCAUGUGUAAAACUGUUUAAUU